CAAUAGCGUAUAUUAAAGUUGUUGCAGUUAAAAAGCUCGUAGUUGGAUUUCUGGUGGGAGCGUUGGGCCGGCCCUAAGGGUCUGAGCUCAAAUGUUUUCCGCCAUCCUUGGAGGGAUGUUGUCUGGCAUUAAGUUGUCGGGCUUCCGAUCUCCAUCGUUUACUGUGAAAAAUUAGAGUGUUCAAAGCAGGCUUAUGCCGUUGAAUACAUUAGCAUGGAAUAAUAAGAUAGGACCUUGGUACUAUUUUGUUGGUUUGCGUACCUAGGUAAUGAUUAAUAGGGACAGUUGGGGAUAUUACUAUUUCGUUGUCAGAGGUGAAAUUCUUGGAUUUACGAAAGAGUAACUACUGCGAAAGCAUUUAUCAAGGAUGUUUUCAUUAAUCAAGAACGAAAGUUAGGGGAUCGAAGACGAUUAGAUACCAU
Molecule: ribosomal RNA, 422 nt
Filed under: uncultured eukaryote
Lineage: Eukaryota
Description: SSU rRNA
Rfam family: Eukaryotic small subunit ribosomal RNA
Source: RNAcentral